RNAcentral lists this transfer RNA (68 nucleotides) under Actinomadura citrea. RNAcentral describes it as "tRNA-Lys". The stretch from base 7 to 57 matches the Rfam family "tRNA", at positions 10 to 63 of the family's 71-position model. Rfam says of the family: Transfer RNA (tRNA) molecules are approximately 80 nucleotides in length. Their secondary structure includes four short double-helical elements and three loops (D, anti-codon, and T loops). Further hydrogen bonds mediate the characteristic L-shaped molecular structure. tRNAs have two regions of fundamental functional importance: the anti-codon, which is responsible for specific mRNA codon recognition, and the 3' end, to which the tRNAs corresponding amino acid is attached (by aminoacyl-tRNA synthetases). tRNAs cope with the degeneracy of the genetic code in two manners: having more than one tRNA (with a specific anti-codon) for a particular amino acid; and 'wobble' base-pairing, i.e. permitting non-standard base-pairing at the 3rd anti-codon position. The record is from RNAcentral. Lineage: Bacteria; Bacillati; Actinomycetota; Actinomycetes; Streptosporangiales; Thermomonosporaceae.
CGCAGUGCUACGACAGCUUCGGACUUUUAAUCCGUAGGUUGUGGGUUCGAGUCCCACGCGACCCGCCA